AACGAACGCUGGCGGCAGGCCUAACACAUGCAAGUCGAGCGCCCCAGCAAUGGGGAGCGGCAGACGGGUGAGUAACGCGUGGGAACCUUCCCAAUGGUACGGAAUAGCCCAGGGAAACUUGGAGUAAUACCGUAUACGCCCGAAAGGGGAAAGAUUUAUCGCCAUUGGAUGGGCCCGCGUCUGAUUAGCUAGUUGGUGAGGUAACGGCUCACCAAGGCGACGAUCAGUAGCUGGUCUGAGAGGAUGAUCAGCCACACUGGGACUGAGACACGGCCCAGACUCCUACGGGAGGCAGCAGGUGGGGAAUAUUGGACAAUGGGCGCAAGCCUGAUCCAGCCAUGCCGCGUGAGUGACGAAGGUUC
This 362-nucleotide ribosomal RNA is filed under the name uncultured bacterium. RNAcentral's name for it is "bacterial SSU rRNA". It matches the Rfam family "Bacterial small subunit ribosomal RNA", at positions 29 to 417 of the family's 1533-position model. The record is from RNAcentral.